Molecule: long non-coding RNA, 232 nt
Organism: Cryptomeria japonica (Japanese cedar)
Lineage: Eukaryota; Viridiplantae; Streptophyta; Pinopsida; Cupressales; Cupressaceae
Exons: 3
Source: RefSeq, a predicted model, not a curated record
ACAGUUGAUGACUGAGGAGGAGUUGAGACAGAUUCAGGAGGGCACCUUGUUGGCCAUUUCAUUUGGCCUUGAUAGCUUUAUGGGCACAAGCAACACGAGUGUGAGGUAGUGUGAUUUAGGAUUUGGUAGUGCAGUUGGAGACAAGGGAAAGAUAAUUCUUGGCUUCAUAUCCUUGAUGACUACAUGAAGAAGGAGGAGGAGGAGGAGGAGGAGAAGAAGAAGAAGAAGGGGG